GACGAACGCUGGCGGCGUGCUUAACACAUGCAAGUCGAACGGAAAGGCCCUGCUUUUGUGGGGUGCUCGAGUGGCGAACGGGUGAGUAACACGUGAGUAACCUGCCCUUGACUUUGGGAUAACUUCAGGAAACUGGGGCUAAUACCGGAUAGGAGCUCCUGCUGCAUGGUGGGGGUUGGAAAGUUUCGGCGGUUGGGGAUGGACUCGCGGCUUAUCCGCUUGUUGGUGGGGUAGUUGCUUACCAAGGCUUUGGCGGGUAGCCGGCCUGAGAGGGUGACCGGCCACAUUGGGACUGAGAUACGGCCCAGACUCCUACGGGAGGCAGCAGUGGGGAAUAGUGCACAAUGGGCGGAAGCCUGAUGCAGCAACGCCGCGUGCGGGAUGACGGCCUGCGGGUUGUAAACCGCUUUCGCCUGUGACGAAGCGUGAGUGACGGUAAUGGGUAAAGAAGCACCGGCUAACUACGUG
This 468-nucleotide ribosomal RNA is filed under the name uncultured bacterium. Its description in RNAcentral is "partial 16S ribosomal RNA". It matches the Rfam family "Bacterial small subunit ribosomal RNA", at positions 28 to 507 of the family's 1533-position model. The record is from RNAcentral.